Molecule: ribosomal RNA, 157 nt
Filed under: Stachybotrys kampalensis
Lineage: Eukaryota; Fungi; Ascomycota; Sordariomycetes; Hypocreales; Stachybotryaceae
Also listed under: 3 other names
Description: 5.8S ribosomal RNA
Rfam family: 5.8S ribosomal RNA
About the family: 5.8S ribosomal RNA (5.8S rRNA) is a component of the large subunit of the eukaryotic ribosome. It is transcribed by RNA polymerase I as part of the 45S precursor that also contains 18S and 28S rRNA.
Source: RNAcentral
AAACUUUUAACAACGGAUCUCUUGGCUCUGGCAUCGAUGAAGAACGCAGCGAAAUGCGAUAAGUAAUGUGAAUUGCAGAAUUCAGUGAAUCAUCGAAUCUUUGAACGCACAUUGCGCCCGUCAGUAUUCUGGCGGGCAUGCCUGUUCGAGCGUCAUU